RNAcentral lists this ribosomal RNA (276 nucleotides) under uncultured bacterium. RNAcentral's name for it is "partial 16S ribosomal RNA". It matches the Rfam family "Bacterial small subunit ribosomal RNA", at positions 77 to 353 of the family's 1533-position model. The record is from RNAcentral.
CAAACUGGAGAUGGCGACCGGCGCACGGGUGAGUAACACGUAUCCAACCUGCCGAUAACUCGGGGAUAGCCUUUCGAAAGAAAGAUUAAUACCCGAUGGCAUAAUAGAACCGCAUGGUUUGAUUAUUAAAGAAUUUCGGUUAUCGAUGGGGAUGCGUUCCAUUAGGCAGUAGGCGGGGUAACGGCCCACCUAGUCUUCGAUGGAUAGGGGUUCUGAGAGGAAGGUCCCCCACAUUGGAACUGAGACACGGUCCAAACUCCUACGGGAGGCAGCAUG